Bombus terrestris (buff-tailed bumblebee) is the source of this 1973-nucleotide RNA transcript. RefSeq lists it as uncharacterized. NCBI's taxonomy places the organism in Eukaryota, Metazoa, Arthropoda, Insecta, Hymenoptera, Apidae. The record is from RefSeq and is a predicted model, not a curated record. The transcript has 3 exons.
GUCUAUAACAUGUUGAAGAUCUUUAUGGUGUAUCUCGUGGAGGAAAUUAAUUUCACGAAAUUAAUUAAACAGUCAAUUAUCUGUUGUACCGAUACAUCUUGAUAUUCAAUGGAAUAAUUUUUGAUAUUUAUUGAUGAUUUCAAAUUCUACCAAUGUGAUCGGGAUAGUCGUGUUUCGUUACAAAACGAACAAAAUCCCGAAGUCUCGUGUAACGGGCUAUAGGAGGCGUUGGUGCGUUCUUUAAAACAGAAUAACUUUUCAAAAAUUGAGUCAAACAAUUUGUUUCUUUCCUUUUUUCUUUUUUUUUUUUUUUUACGAGUUAGACUCAUUGGAAAGAUUAACAAUAGGUUACGUGUAAAGAAAUGUUGAAAGAAGUACAAUUAGUCGGAAUAGCGAAGAAGGAAGUAAAGGUAGCUUUUUACAACUUUUCUAGCUGGACCUGUAACGAAGAUUUAAAUAACGCAUUUCGAAGAUUUCCUCUAACUCGUCGAGCAAAAUUCAAAUGGUUCGGUCCACAGUUGCAGACGAGUUAUUUCGUUCGAAUGAACGUACGAAACGAAAGAUAUUUUUACGGCGAGUGUCGGACUAUUUUAGCUUUCGAGGCAUUGUAAGUUGAAUUUUAGUUGCGGUGUCGACAAAUCAUUGAUUCAGUGACAGUGAAUUUUCUUUUUUCUGGGUGUGAUGCGAAUGCGCAGAAACUUUGAAACGUUCCCGCUGAACGAACAGGACCUUCCGGCUGCCAUGGAUAUUGAUUUUCCAUGGGCUUCAAGGUUUCUGGAGCAGCUGUACCCAUCCAGCGCAGACUCUGGCUAUUCUCAAUAUGGCUGUCUAUUGUACCCAAAUCCGCUCGUUUUGCGUUGCAACGCGCUCGCCGCCAUACACCAGCAUGCGAUCAAUGCGCCAAGGACAUCAGCCGAUCGCAAUUUAAACAGCCGAAUUUAUUUUCGAAUGUGACGCGCUAGACGUUAUCAACAUGGCCGAUACAUGUACCCUGUCACGUACUUCCUGAUCGUCGCGUCUAUCUCCAUGGUCGCCAACUGUUAACUACGGAACAUCGAACUCACGCAGCGUCGGAACGAGCAAACGAUUUAUGGUGUCAUCAGUGUGAUACAAUGGAAGAUGGAGAGAGAUGCGCCAAUCUGACCGGAAACUUCACCACUUUCGGGCACAAGUGCACUGGUGAUAAAAGGACCUGUAUGGUAAUGACAAAUGAUAACAGCGAUUCGAACGCUUGUUGAUUAUACACAGGUCACGCACGUGUUUCAGCAGAUGUUUGAUAUUUUGCUUUGAUCGCGUGCUUUUAAAGCAAACAGAAUAUAGCAAACAGCUAGCUAAAAGCGAUAUUAGUUAUCGUCAACACGAGAGCGAGAGAAGGCUGUUCAAGAUAGAGACACAGUUUCAUUUCGUUCAUAACGCGAUUAGUGUUUGGAAAUGUUCAAUAUAGUCGAUCAAUUCAGUUUCAUAAUAAUUACGUACUUUAUUGAAAUUGAAUCCGCUUUAUAGGAACAUAUGUACAUGGUGUACACAUUUGAGGGAAUAUGCAAAUGCAAUUUUUUAUUUGUUCUUCUUAUUUAUUGGUAAUCAACAAUGAUAUUGGAUAUGAUAUAAUUGUACAGUUUGCACAUACACGGCAAAAAUAUUACGAAAUCCGUAAUCGAUAUUAGCCGACCGAAUUAACAAUGAACGAACCGUAUUCUCUGGAAAUGAUGCGAGAUAUUCUGGAAAAUUGAUAUUCCCUCGACUAAAAAUAUGUUACGUUCACACUCACUCGUGUUCGUUACAAGUUCCAAUGUGAAAUGUCAUACAGAGUGAAACAAGGAAUUGUUGCAAAUAUUAAUUUAAUUUUAGUAUCAAGAAUCAUUCUACGUACAUGUAGAAUUCUUUCUCAUCUUUUCUUUUCAGUCUUCUUUUUUCUCUUUUCGCUCGAUACUAUCAAGUUCGUGGUUUAAUGCUGCCCAAAAUGAGCUCGUACU